UAUCUGUACUAGUCUAGAAGCAAAAAAUCCAGAAUAUUAUUUGUGAGGGACGUUCUUCUGAAUCUAGGUGUCAAAGCUGCUUGCAGUAUAAUAUUGAAUAUUUACUGGAUUUGGUUUACCUGAAGACAUUACUCAAAAAACUAUCUUCCACAUGAUGACACAUGACUUGGUUUAAGAUUGAUGAGUCAUUAAAACCUUCCUCUAAAUGAAAGGAGAAGAGCAGAUUUGUCUCUAGGCAUGAAGUGACCUCAGAAUGGAGAAGAGACUAAGAAAAGAUUUGUUUUCCUGUUCCUGGGAUGAAAGAAGUUUUUGAACAGGAUCUUCAAGUUGGUCAGCUAGACGAUGACAGCUGCCCUUGCGAUGGUAUCCAUGAUUAUGCAUCCACAUGACACUCACCCUGGCCUGGAAGCAGACUGCUCCAUCUUGGACUUUUGAGAACAAAGACUUCUUUAAUGCCUCUGAACUACUUGGAAUGAUUUCAUAGGCUAAAGGAUAGGUUGGUGGAGAAAGAAACAUAUGUUCUGUGGGACAAUGAAAAGGCAUUUCUCUUAGCCCAUAGCUCCAUCUUUUAUCACAAUCAAGGCAUAGUGGAGGGCAUAUCAGCCGUACACAUUCUCAGUAAGAAUAAGAUAAUCUACAGACAUUUCGUGGCUUCUGCAUUGCUCUAAAUGUGCUCAUUCUUGACUGACUCAGUCUAGAUCUUAAACCACCACCACCACCACCACCACUCCUGCUGAAAUAAGUCUGCUUUCAUGGCCUUUAGGAAAAACUAGUCAAUAUGAUUCAUUGCUUUUCAUUGUAAGGGCUGCUGAGCCCUAGGGAAAAGAAGCUUAUAGGAGAAUGAAAAUCAUUUUAGACUGCUACAUGUUUGAUGCUGUUUUUAUGCCCUGCUUGGCUUUUUAAGUGGCUGGCUCUUUAACAGUUUAUUUUAACUAUAUUAUUAUUAUAUCACGUUUUGCUUUGUAAGCUGCCUCAAGCAGGGUCUCUGGA
Long non-coding RNA from Heteronotia binoei (common prickly gecko), 990 nucleotides. RefSeq lists it as uncharacterized. The record is from RefSeq and is a predicted model, not a curated record. NCBI's taxonomy places the organism in Eukaryota, Metazoa, Chordata, Lepidosauria, Squamata, Gekkonidae. The transcript is spliced from 3 exons.